GUACCUCCGAACCGCUCCCGAGUUAAAAAAAUGACCUUUCCCUGCAUAAUUUUGGAGGUAACCUAGCUGCGUAAUUAUAUUUGCACUUACAGAAGACUGCAUCAGAGUUCCCUUAUUGGUUUGAAAUUCCAUUAAAUAUAUUGCAAGAGCUCCUAGGUUAAGCUUGAUUUAAAUUUGCAUACAUUUUCAUAUAUUUAGCAGAAAUAAAAGAAGGCUUGCAGCUACCAGAAAGUCAUUAAGGCAUUAGUUUCUCUGAGAAGACAGAUCUGAAGAAAAUUCAAGAAAAUGAGAAAAUAGAUAUAAAUAAGGUGGAGUUGAAUACAAUGCCCGCGUUUGUGGUUAACUGCAGACAAUACAUUAUGAAGAUGAUGGUAUUCAGACACAUACCCACACAAUUUGAGUCAGACAAAUUGGAUGCAAGGCUUUGACCAGCGUGAGAAGGACAGGUGGCUGAAGUGCUCCAACGGGAAGCGUUUGAAGAUGGCAACCACCUCCGGGACUCUCUGUACCCAUGAAGCUGCCAGGGCGGCGGGGAGCUCCAGCUCCAGGGACGCCUAAGGCAUAGCGGAGACUGGCAGCAUUACAGACCUGCUGGAGGAGCUCAGCGGGAGAAGAGCCAGCACCGCACCGACGAUGUGGCUUGAACAGAGGUCUGUGGAGGUCCAGCUCAUUGGAAACUUUUGCGCUCAAACCAGGAGGAUGCUAUAGAUGGGGCUAAUCUGUGAGGUUCUUCAACCCCACCGAGGAUGCACAGAGCCGAUCUCUAAGUCGGUGAUAUCUGCUGCUGCUCACAGGAGACGGCACCGACAGGCUCUUUGGAGUCGGGCCGGUGAAUUCCCAGCCGGGGAGCACAGCCGCUUCUGCACCGUGCAGGUGAGGUACCGAGGGCAGCCUGGGGCUUGCCACUGCCUUCAAGAAGGGUUCAUAUAAUUGUAUUUAUCCACAAAGGGACAGUAAACUCUUUUUUUUUUCAAAUUGUUCUUGUGGCGUGUCAAAAAGUUUUAAUUCUCUGUUUUUCCUCUGUACCUACUACUUGUCUCCCUGCCUCAAUCCAGCUCCUACUUUUGCUCACCUCCAGAGAGCACAGCCAGGUGCUUUUCAGCAUCUCCUCGGGAAAUGUGCCACAUCCGUGGAGCUCAGGAAAGCAGGACCCAUCGGGGCCAGCUGGAGAGAGCUGUCUUUGAUCGUCUUAAUCUCUCAUCCAUCACUUUUUUACUGAAGUUAAAUAAUUCUGAACUUACAUUGCCUUAAAGGGUUUACCUGGCUCAGCAGGUGCCAGGUUUAGGAUGUUUCAGAGGGUUUUUGGAUCAUUUUGGAUGUUUUUUUAAGGUUCGUGGGCCUGAUACAGCCUGUCAGGCAGGUGGACUCCUUUCUACUCUCUGGGCAUGUAACCCUGAAAACACCCUCUCAUUUCUAUAUGUAAGGUGAGGUAAAAAGGUCAGAAUAGACCUGGAUCAUGUUUCUGAAGAUUGGCAGUGUAUAAUAAUUAUUAACAGUUUCUGUAACGGUGCAGGUUACAGACACGGGACCAAACACCUGCAGUGAACCUCCUCAGGCGAAAUUCUCCUCGGCUUCAAUCACGUCUUUUCCGGAGAUGAGACCGCUGGCUGCGCUCAGGGCGAUCCGCCCGCUCCUGGCUUAAGAGGCACUUAUAAUCUACUGCUAAGAGACUUAUUAGCAAUGUAAAAAUGAAUUUGAAGCAAGAAAAGUAUUCUUCCUAGAAGAAAUAUAUUUUUUGUAAAAUUAGUUUUGCUGACAGAAGUAAUUGGGCUAACUCCUUGCGACUACGGAUGUUAUUUGUUGCCCCUUAUCUUACCAAAGCAAAGGGUGCCAAAGACUUUGAACUUUGUAAAUAAUUGUUUCCAAAGUGAUUUUUUUUUCUCUAUAUAAAGUCUUUAGAGAAAAGCUGGCUCCUAAUCCUUUCUCUUCCAAAGCUUUUACAGCUCAGCUUCUUCCCACUCCAGAUAUCUUUUAUUUUCCCUCUUUGUGUUUUAAUAUUUUUUAGAUAUUAAAAAAGUCUCUUUUAAGGGUGAAUCUAGAGCUUUUGCUCAGAUUGGAAAAGUCAUUCCUAAAGCUUUAAUAGAUUGGAGAGAGAGAGAGAAAAAAAAAAAUACCAAAAAGAACUUUAUUUCAAACUGCCACAGAUGCUGGGGCUGGGGCUUGGAGACGAGCAUCUGAGCGCCUGACUGGUGCCCAGAGCAGGGGCCCUGGCCAUCAGCCUUGCCGUUUUUUCUUGCUCCAGGUACCCGGCCGGUGCAAACAGCUGGCAGAAGGGUUGGCCCUUCGCUGGUUGUUCACGUCUUCUGGACUGGAUGGGAGCCGGGAGAUGCUCUGCCCCCUCCGUCCCAGCCCACUGGUGCUCGCUGUCCCCUCCUGUGCCGAAGAGAGGGGCACGGUUUUCUGGCAAACACAAUUUCUCUUGGUUUUAUUUCACUUUUACAGCCACAGCAACAAAUAUUAACCCAGAAACAGGACAGAAAGCUCUCCCAGAGUGCGUGUUAUUAAAGCAGUGUCGCAGGCCUGCAGGAAAUCCGUGCUUAUUAUUUGCAUAAAACAAGCAAACUCACGGAUGUGGGAAAACUGAACUGCUGGAAAAGCAAGACAUGACUUGCUCCAUCAUCCUGGAAAGUUGGACGCGACCGUUUUUACUUACCUGUCUCUCUGCUAUCCAUCUAUUUGUUUACUUAUUUUGGCCAAAGACACAAAUAAUGAGAAAUGUGUGUCUCUAACUGGAGCUGUUACCUUGCCUUGGGUUCCCAAAGGUGACAAGGAUGGGUAGGGCAGACCUGUAGAGCCGAGAAAAAUAAAUGACAGCUUCCCAUGCCUGCAUUGCCACUGGAGCAGGAAUGGGUGUUAAAUUCCAAGCUUCAGCCUAAGGCAGCGACCUAAACCAGGGAGCAGCAAAGCCCAGGCAUCUGUGGGGAACUUCUGCAGUAGCCGGUGCUUCAUAGCGAUCCCAAAGGAAGGAUGCUUGUUGAGACACCUUGUUGAAUCAGACUCAGGGCGAGCACACAAAACCCAGGGUAGGGCUCAUCAGCACUUCUCCUAGUCAAGACCCAGCUGCCGUUGAGGGAUGCCGCCUUGAAGUCUUGUGUUUGUGCCGUGGUGCCAUUCCCCAGCUGUCCUCCAACACCAGGGCGGGGAAAGCAAUUCCUGUUAAGCCCAGCUCUGAGACUUACUUCCUGAGUCUUCAGGUAAGGACUUGAUGGUAGGAUGCUUCCACCAAGACUGUUCUUCCUUCCUCCUCCUCCUCCAAAGCCAGCGGUUUCAGGUCUCAGACGCCACCAGCAGCUCCCCAGGCACUUGGUUGAUGGCUUGCUCGCUGACCCAGCUGAAGCGGGAAGGAAUUGAAAAUCUGCAGUAUUUUUCUUCUGAGAAAACAAAGAAAAGUUUAUGAUUUUUAAGAAAGCACCUCACAGCAGAGCCCAAACGGGAAUGUUUGCCUUCGAAAGCAUCCAUCGAUUCCAAGCUCCAGAGGGAGCGGCUCCUCCGGCUCCUCGAGCCACAGUGGACAGAAGGAGCUGUCAGGGAGCCGCGUGCGGCCGCCGCGCUGGCAGAGAUCCCUUCCGCACAGGGGAUUUCUGCACUGACAAUUUUUGGCUCCUUUAGGUUACUUUGGAGCUGCACAGAAUAUGUAAUGUUCUGCACUCGCAGAGGGGCUGACAGGGAACUUAAAUACAGAUUGCAAAGAUAGAUCAUCUCCCAGCAUCACUUUGUUUUCUGCUGCUCUAAAAUCAUUUUACUUGUUCCUGCAGCUCCUAUAAAGCCAGAAGAGCUCUCUAUAUUUGCUUCCCGGAUGCCUUUUUCUCCUCUGCUUACAACUAUAAAAGCAGCUUUUCAUGCUCCAAAUCAGAGAUAAAUUGAAAUCGCUGCUGAAGAAAUAAAACACAAGGCUAAUCAAAUUGUAGCGCAGGAAGCAGCCUUCAGCCAGUGCAUUUUUUGAGAGCUAUUUUUAGAAUAUAUUUUUAUUUUGUCACUCCAUAUGGGAAGUCAAACCCAUAUGGUUUGGGAGAAUGGAAGGUUGUGCUUUUAUAGAGAUCUCGCAAACCACCCCUGCUCAGCCACGUACUUGAACACGUGCUUAAAUCCAGUUGUCUGCGAUGGGACUGAAGCACAUAAACUCCUCGUGACUGGGGCCUCGGGCGCCGUCUGAGGUUGUAACAGUAUUACUCCCUCCUGAGAUGUAAAACUAUUCUAUAUUCGUCAAAUCAGUCUCCAGUUAACUUGGCUCUCCUUAAUUAUGCCAUUUCUCAUUCAUACACCUUCCUUUUUUUUUUUUAAUUCCUUCUCCACGGUUCGGCUGCCCCAGUGAGUGCGUUUGGUCCAGUACCAGCCGGGAUGCGAAGCUGAACAUCCACAGCCAUCGCUCUCUUGCUCUUUACAGUAGAUGUUGCUACUUCUCAAAUAUCAAGAUUAAUAUUGGUGGUGUUGGGGAAAACGACUGUAUUCUGCCCACAGCCCCAUGGCACCCUCCGAGUACGCUGAUGAAGCAAUAAUUGACUAGAAAAGGAAACAGUUCUCCACUGUUUUUCUUGGAUAAAGGUCACUGGGAUUAGGACCGCACAGUGGAGAAUUCAGCGUGGCAGAAGGAUGGGAAGCACGGAGGUUUCUGAGGCGGUUCGGGUGCUGCUUCCGCCAAGCAGAAGGGAUGUUUUACUAAAAUUGUUGAUCGAAAGUGAGACCUCAUGUUGAUUAUUUUAUUGGAAAGUCAAGCAACAACCACUGAUAUUUUUUUCCCCACAAAUAUAAAACAGAGAUAUUGUGUAAGAGGCAAGAAUGUUAAAAUAACCAAGCACCAGAAGGGGCUGCAAGGAAAGCCUGAGGUUAUAGCAGAAAGAAACUGUCAUAAGUUUUAAAAGAAAUAUUAUGAAGCCAUACUUAGAAUCAUAGAAUCAUUUAUGUCGGAAAAGACCUCCAAGAUCAUCAAGUCCAAACGUAGCACUUCAUCUUCCAAAUCUAUGACCAUUUCGAAAUCAAAAUAACUGCUGUUAAAUUAUUCGCUCAAAGUAGCUUUAUAGUGAGGAAAAACCCUAUCGCUUUUAUCCCACUUUAAAAAAUACAUUCUCUACAGUUUUGAAAUCCCCAAAGACAGUAAAAUAUACCUGGAUUUAUGACGUGUAGGUGUAUUGGAAUUAGAUGCAAGUUGCUGGGUUUUCCCAGAAAUGUUACUUUGGAAUAUUUGAGAAACUCAGCUGUUGGACCAGGCUUUGGGCUGUGUGGCCACUCUGAGGUGGGCUCGUGAUUUUGCUGUGUUUCCUCUACGCCACUCGUCACAGCUGAACAUGGUGGGCCCAGCAAAGCCAACCAAGAGUUUGCCCGUGACUUCAGCGGGGCCCGGAUUUCAUCCCAGGCCGGGAGCAGCUGACGGAGAGUGCCACGGGCUGGUGACCCGGAGCAAUUUCAAGUCAGUGACGUCGGAGUGAAAAAAUUCCGUGUCACAUGAGUGAUCUCAUCGGCGACCCAGGGUACUCGAAUUCCACUUCGGAUUUUCUGCAGAGUUUCUGUUCACAUUGCAACUAUGUAGAUAUCAUGUUAAGGCAGUUUUCUUAAAAACCCAAAGAAUUAAUUUCUUUAAGAGAUGGGUGAUUUGUAGAAGGCAUUUGUGUAAUUUUGCAUUCUAACUGUGAUUUAUAUUUAUAAAUAAAUUUGCAUAAAA
This is a non-coding RNA of Phalacrocorax carbo (great cormorant), 5656 nucleotides long. The record is from RefSeq and is a predicted model, not a curated record. Lineage: Eukaryota; Metazoa; Chordata; Aves; Suliformes; Phalacrocoracidae.